CUCAGGUGCUCGGGGGGGGCGUUCCACAGCAUCAGUGGACUGUGGGGCUCUCAGGUGCUCAGGGGGGGCGUUCCACAGCAUCAGUGGACUGUGGGGCUCUCAGGUGCUCAGGGGGGGCGUUCCACAGCAUCAGUGGACUGUGGGGCUCUCAGGUGCUCGGGGGGGGCGUUCCACAGCAUCAGUGGACUGUGGGGCUCUCAGGUGCUCGGGGGGGCGUUCCACAGCAUCAGUGGACUGUGGGGCUCUCAGGUGCUCAGGGGGGGCGUUCCACAGCAUCAGUGGACUGUGGGGCUCUCAGGUGCUCAGGGGGGGCGUUCCACAGCAUCAGUGGACUGUGGGGCUCUCAGGUGCUCAGGGGGGGCGUUCCACAGCAUCAGUGGACUGUGGGGCUCUCAGGUGCUCGGGGGGGCGUUCCACGGUCCCGGCGCCACAUAUGAAAAGGCCCUAUCAGCCAUGCUACGGAGCUCGGUUCUGGGGACUUGGAGGGUGUUC
Long non-coding RNA from Brienomyrus brachyistius, 492 nucleotides. RefSeq lists it as uncharacterized. The record is from RefSeq and is a predicted model, not a curated record. NCBI's taxonomy places the organism in Eukaryota, Metazoa, Chordata, Actinopteri, Osteoglossiformes, Mormyridae. The transcript is spliced from 4 exons.